GCUCAACCGAAGAAGUGCAUUGGAAACUGGGAGACUUGAGUGCAGAAGAGGACAGUGGAACUCCAUGUGUAGCGGUGAAAUGCGUAGAUAUAUGGAAGAACACCAGUGGCGAAGGCGGCUGUCUGGUCUGCAACUGACGCUGAGGCUCGAAAGCAUGGGUAGCGAACAGGAUUAGAUACCCUGGUAGUCCAUGCCGUAAACGAUGAUUACUAAGUGUUGGAGGGUUUCCGCCCUUCAGUGCUGCAGCUAACGCGUUAAGUAAUCCGCCUGGGGAGUACGGCCGCAAGGUUGAAACUCAAAAGAAUUGACGGGGGCCCGCACAAGCGGUGGAGCAUGUGGUUUAAUUCGAAGCUACGCGAAGAACCUUACCAGGUCUUGACAUCUUCUGACAGUCUAAGAGAUUAGAGGUUCCCUUCGGGGACAGAAUGACAGGUGGUGCAUGGUUGUCGUCAGCUCGUGUCGUGAGAUGUUGGGUUAAGUCCCGCAACGAGCGCAACCCUUAUUACUAGUUGCCAGCAUUAAGUUGGGCACUCUAGUGAGACUGCCGGUGACAAACCGGAGGAAGGUGGGGACGACGUCAAAUCAUCAUGCCCCUUAUGACCUGAGCUACACACGUGCUACAAUGGAUGGUACAACG
RNAcentral lists this ribosomal RNA (637 nucleotides) under uncultured bacterium. Its description in RNAcentral is "bacterial SSU rRNA". It matches the Rfam family "Bacterial small subunit ribosomal RNA", at positions 607 to 1244 of the family's 1533-position model. The record is from RNAcentral.